AAGAUUCAGAUAUCUCAGAGUAAAAGUACAGCUGAGGGGUAAAAGUACUCUGAUUACUUGGUCUACUGUGAGGCUCCUAACCAGGACCAGGUUCUCCUGCUGGUGGUUUUUAGAGCUCCAGCAGCUUUCUGAUAGAACAUCACUGCUUUAAAGUAAUAAUACCUCAUUUAAUCUGGACCAAUCAGACGCUGUAGAACUGUCAGGUUAAAUAUAGUUAAAUCUGGUUAAACUGAACUUGAGGCUGGAACAGAAACGGGAAGUAAAAUACUGGAACAACUGAAGAAUCUGAGAGGCUUUGAUGUAGUUCAGAAGUUAGAACAUCCCAGAACUAUAGAUCUGGGGUCUGUUUCACGAAGCAGGUUCAUUGAAAACUCUGAGUUCUUAACCCUGAAAUGAGGGAAACUCAGAGUUUUCCGUUUCAUGAAGCGAGGUAACUUAACCCUGAGACAGAGGGGUAACUCUAGCCUGUUUCACAAAGAGGGGUAACUUCAACUCUCGGUCAGUUACCGCAGUAACAGACUCUAUGACUCUAACCUGGUCACCAGCAGGUUUAUCUGAGAAAACCUCCAGUUUCUCUCUGUCUCCGCCCUCUUUCAGCCACACGCUGUUUCAUUUCCUCAUUCAUUCAGUCAGUAAGCGAGCGAGUUUUGGCGUAGAACAGCUUUUAUUAACGAUCCAGUGGAUAAAGGAGCAGCAUUACUGCACAGAUCAUUAAAUAUUCGUCGGUAGAUUGUUAUCAGACCGAGCAUAAAUGUUCUCGCAUUUCCGGACAAUUAUCGGUUUGAGCGGCACCGUUUCGUAAUCGUUUCAAGUCCAUAAUCUACAUAAACAACCUAAUCCGUCCUUACAUUUACAUUACCAACCAGUCAUGCUCUCACAUCCAGCAGAUAUUGUGUGUUGCGCUGCGGUUCUUUGCAAAUGAAAGUUUUUAUAUGAUGUCAGAGAUGCAGAGUAAGACAACUGUAUGGAGGACAGUCAGAAAAGUUUUCCUGGCUCUGAAACAACUUUUACUCGUCAUUGUGGACAUAAACCUGUCAGAGCAUCAAGGAGGAUCCACAGGAUUACAGGAUUUCCCAGUGUGAUUGGCUGCAUAGAUGCACACACAUCCCCAUCACAGCUCCCUCACAUCAUGAACAGGAAGUCCAUUCACAGCAUAAAUGUGCAGAUCAUAUGUGAUGCUGCAUACAUCAUUUCUAAUGUGGAGGCCACGUGGUCUGGGUCUGUUCAUGACUCCAGGAUUUAUGGAGAGUCUAACCUGAGCAACAGACUGCAGCGUGGUCAGCAGCAUAAAGAUUUUCACAAUAGAAUUCUCUUGUCUCCCUCCUUUAAUAUGCUCUGAUGUAUCCACUAUACAUUACAGGAGAGUUUGAUGGCCUUCUGCUGGGUGACAGGGGUUACCAUGGCAACCCAGGCUGAUGACCUCAUACCCUGACCCUGAACCAGGCCCCCAACAGAACUUCAACCGGACUCACUGCAGGACCAGAGCCCGGAUGGAGAUGACCAUAGGCCUGCUGAAAGCCCGUUUCCAGAGCCUACGUCUCCUCAGGGUGACCCCUGAGAGGGCCUGUGAUAUUACUGUGGCAUGUGUUGUUCUUCAUAAUAUUACCACUAUUAGAGGAGAGCAACACCCUGCCCUACAAACUGAAGACCCAGAUGAUGAGCCCAUCCACCUGCAGCUAUCCAGGACAGCAGAGCAGUCAGAGACACCGUAUGCAAGAAUCACUUUAGAGUUUAAGUCUCCAUCAUCACCACCACAGCAAAUAAAGACAUGAGACACA
Acanthochromis polyacanthus (spiny chromis) is the source of this 1778-nucleotide long non-coding RNA. RefSeq lists it as uncharacterized. The record is from RefSeq and is a predicted model, not a curated record. The transcript has 3 exons. NCBI's taxonomy places the organism in Eukaryota, Metazoa, Chordata, Actinopteri, Pomacentridae.